UCCAAAAAAAGUCGCAAAACCACGGGGGUCUCCCUUUCCGUCCUUGUAACGAAGUUUGCUAAAGGACAGUAUGACAUUUGCUGCCAUACAGUCCCCGCCAUAAACAUUCCCCUCAGUUUCUUCAACUUUCUUCAAUGCAGACCUACAUGCUGUCGCAAUCGAAUCCAGGGGGUGCAAGUGGCAGUUCAUCUCGUUCAGCGUUUUCCCCCACUCGCUACUUACGAGACGGACGGCCGCGUGAUUGGUCGCACAUCGGUCAGUCAUCGUAUUCGAUAUCUUCUCAAUCAAUUUUGCCCUAGUUUCCUCGAAGUUUGUCCCUUUAGUAAAGAAAACAUAAGUGUGGGCCAAGUCAUCUACAGUUUGGCAGAUAUGAUUGCAGUAGUCUUCUGCUGUUCCUCCUGCCAACUCAUCCACUGCAGCUGACAUACUGUCAUGUUCGGUACUAAAAUGGAUUUCGUUGACAUGGGUACCUUCCUGGGUAGUUGCAUCAAAUCCCAAAGUCACAUUAUUAUUAGCCAAUAUCAUUUCAGCCGUCUGCAGUUGAGAAAUCACUCCUAAUUCCUGGGCCAUCAACUCAACAGUGCUCCUUUGGGGUACAGUUUUGAGCUCAAUUCCAUCAUGCUUCGCUAUACUCUGUAAGACUACUGGUAUAUUUGCCGUCGACACUUUACUACUUAUACAGUCAUAUACUUUCAUUCUCAUGGCUGAUGAGUACGUCUUUCUAUUAACUUUUGGCCCCUUAGGAUGUUCUGUGGUUGAAGUCAGGUCUUCAACUCUUUCCUGAAGAAGCAGGAGUUCAUGUUGAAGUUCUGAUAUCACAUUGUCCUUCUCCUUGAUCUUUAUUACGACUUCAUUAUAUUCUGCCACAGAAACAGUCUUGCUGCUUUUUCUUCUUUUAAGAAGUUUCCUGUGCGUAUUCUUCAGUGUUUUGUUGCGAUUUCUCUCUUUCUGUAAUUCACGGAAGAGGACAUUCCUAUACAACAUAUGCCUUAGCUUUUUAAUCUCUUUAUUUCUUGUCUCAACUCUAUUCUUUUGCCUCUGAAUGGCUUGGUUUAUGCACCUUCUUGGGGUCUGAAGCUGUCUCCUCAAUUCUCUCACUUUUUCUUGGUAUCUCUUCUUCACUCUUCUGUGGGUUGAUGACAUAAAAUCCAAUCGUUGUUUCAUCUUGGCUUCUUGAGGAGUGAGCGGGUCACGUCGACGACUCCUUGAACCGGCAGAGGACCCUGGCUCAGAAUGAACUUGAAGGUGACUGUCUGGAGUUCUGGUCAUUGUGUCGGAAUCUGUUUGUUCAACAGUUAAUUUCUCAUCAAAAAUUCCAGGUGAAACAACAGGAACUUGAGGAACUGGCAACUGUGCAACAGGAACUGUGAACUCAGGAUCAACUGCCUCAGUGAGGUCAAACGGUUCAUCACAUAUUGCUGAAAACUUUUCAAAUUGUUUUGGGUCAGUGAGUGUUCUAAACUUAUUCCAUGUUGCUCUCACAACCACUCUUAUAUCAUUACUCAGGGACUUACUGAAAGAAAAGCCCUCAGAUGAAAAAUGUGUUUUUAAUUGUCUCGCUGUCUCAGCUCUACUACUUCCCGCUGCACAGACGUACAGAUGUAAUACAUGUCCUUUUUUCAACUCAGUGCUGGUAGCAGGAAGUGUUGAAAAAUUCUCGUUCAGGUGCCGUCUUCCCACACCCGGUUGGGCAUGUGCAUUGACAAUGAGGUUGCGUCUUUUUUUUGGAGGCAUAUCCUAAGAAGAUAAAUGGUGAACUGAAUUAGGUGAAUUUCUAGACAGGUCAAAAAUCUAUGAUCCAGAUGACCUCAGAGAAAAUAAUUAAGAUAUUGGGUACAGGGUUGUUAUAAAACCCAAAUUAAUUGCAAUUCACCAGAUUUCUAGCACAAUGGAUAAACCAAGGAACAACAAUCAAACAUUUGUAUUCCCCACCAUGAUAGUACACUGACUUGUUAGAAGGAAUGCAUUUCAGCCUGGGUCCAGGCAAAACCCCCCUAAAACCCCCUCUUUUUUUGAAAGACAAAGAAGUGGGACAAAGCCCACUCGUUUUGUGGGACAAAGCCUUCUGAAUUAAAUUAGAAAAUGCCAAAACCCCCAAUUUUUUUCCUCCUGUUUCUGCACAAGUCUUAAUGCCAUAAUUUAAUUGGAUAAAAUAAUAUUAUACAAAUUGCAAUAAAAUUAAUUAUGCAUUUCCCA
Molecule: long non-coding RNA, 2196 nt
Filed under: Scleropages formosus (Asian bonytongue)
Lineage: Eukaryota; Metazoa; Chordata; Actinopteri; Osteoglossiformes; Osteoglossidae
Description: lncRNA (ENSSFOG00015031353.1)
Source: RNAcentral